RNAcentral lists this ribosomal RNA (253 nucleotides) under uncultured bacterium. RNAcentral describes it as "partial 16S ribosomal RNA". It matches the Rfam family "Bacterial small subunit ribosomal RNA", at positions 524 to 776 of the family's 1533-position model. The record is from RNAcentral.
UACGGAGGAUGCAAGCGUUAUCCGGAAUUAUUGGGCGUAAAGCGUCCGCAGGUGGCCCUUCAAGUCUGCUGUCAAAGACCGGGGCUUAACCCUGGAAAGGCAGUGGAAACUGAAGCGCUAGAGUGUGGCAGGGGUAGAGGGAAUUCCCGGUGUAGCGGUGAAAUGCGUAGAGAUCGGGAAGAACAUCGGUGGCGAAAGCGCUCUACUGGGCCAUAACUGACACUCAGGGACGAAAGCUAGGGGAGCGAAUGGG